UACGUAGGUGGCAAGCGUUGUCCGGAAUUAUUGGGCGUAAAGCGCGCGCAGGCGGUUCCUUAAGUCUGAUGUGAAAGCCCACGGCUCAACCGUGGAGGGUCAUUGGAAACUGGGGGACUUGAGUGCAGAAGAGGAGAGCGGAAUUCCACGUGUAGCGGUGAAAUGCGUAGAGAUGUGGAGGAACACCAGUGGCGAAGGCGGCUCUCUGGUCUGUAAUUGACGCUGAGGCGCGAAAGCGUGGGGAGCAAACAGG
This 253-nucleotide ribosomal RNA is filed under the name uncultured bacterium. RNAcentral's name for it is "partial 16S ribosomal RNA". It matches the Rfam family "Bacterial small subunit ribosomal RNA", at positions 524 to 776 of the family's 1533-position model. The record is from RNAcentral.